GCGGCGGACGGGAUAGUAACGCGUGGGAAUGUGCCCUUCUCUAUGGAAUAUCCCUUGGAAAUGAAAAAUUCCCUCNUUGCCCCUCUUGGGGGGAAAGAUUUCUUNAAAAAGGAUNAGCCCCCGUUAAAUUANAUAGUUGGUGGUGUAAUGGCCUACCAUGNCUACGAUCUAGCNNUGGUUUUAAAGGAUUAUCNGGGGCUNUGGGACUGAGACACGGCCCANACUCCUACGGGAGGCAGCAUUGGGAAAUCUUANACAAUGGGUGAUAGCUUGAUCUAGCCAUGCCGCGNGAGUGAUGAAGGCCCCUCGGUCNUACANCUCGUUCGCCAUGGACGUUAAUGACAGUACCUGGUAAACAAACCCCGGCUAACUCCGUGCCACCAGCCGCGGUAAUA
This 395-nucleotide ribosomal RNA is filed under the name uncultured bacterium. RNAcentral describes it as "partial 16S ribosomal RNA". It matches the Rfam family "Bacterial small subunit ribosomal RNA", at positions 95 to 525 of the family's 1533-position model. The record is from RNAcentral.